GUGCUCACUUCAGCAGCACAUACACUAAAACUGGGACAAUACAGAGAAGAUUAGCAUGGCCCCUGUGCAAAAAAGGACCCCAGGCCACUCUACUAAUUUGG
This 101-nucleotide small nuclear RNA is filed under the name Chinchilla lanigera (long-tailed chinchilla). Lineage: Eukaryota; Metazoa; Chordata; Mammalia; Rodentia; Chinchillidae. The record is from RNAcentral.